RNAcentral lists this ribosomal RNA (115 nucleotides) under Alistipes sp. RNAcentral describes it as "partial 23S ribosomal RNA". It matches the Rfam family "Bacterial large subunit ribosomal RNA", at positions 2798 to 2925 of the family's 2925-position model. The record is from RNAcentral. Lineage: Bacteria; Pseudomonadati; Bacteroidota; Bacteroidia; Bacteroidales; Rikenellaceae.
CACAAGAUUAGAUUUCCCUUGAGGGUCGUUGUAGACUACGACGUUGAUAGGCUACAGGUGUAAAGAUGGUGACAUCAAAGCCGAGUAGUACUAAUUGCCCGAGACUUUUGCGAUU